AACGAACGCUGGCGGCAUGCCUAACACAUGCAAGUCGAACGAGACCUUCGGGUCUAGUGGCGCACGGGUGCGUAACGCGUGGGAACCUCCCCUAGGUUCGGAAUAACUCCCCGAAAGGGGUGCUAAUACCGGAUAAUGUCUUCGGACCAAAGAUUUAUCGCCUUUGGAUGGGCCCGCGUUGGAUUAGCUAGUUGGUAGGGUAAAAGCCUACCAAGGCGACGAUCCAUAGCUGGUCUGAGAGGAUGAUCAGCCACACUGGGACUGAGACACGGCCCAGACUCCUACGGGAGGCAGCAGUGGGGAAUAUUGGACAAUGGGCGAAAGCCUGAUCCAGCAAUGCCGCGUGAGUGAUGAAGGCCUUAGGGUUGUAAAGCUCUUUUACCCGGGAUGAUAAUGACAGUACCGGGAGAAUAAGCUCCGGCUAACUCCGUG
RNAcentral lists this ribosomal RNA (432 nucleotides) under uncultured bacterium. RNAcentral's name for it is "partial 16S ribosomal RNA". It matches the Rfam family "Bacterial small subunit ribosomal RNA", at positions 29 to 507 of the family's 1533-position model. The record is from RNAcentral.